UAACUUGGGGUGUUUAAACCAUGUAUGCAGUUUUAUGUAAGCGAAAUAUAUAGUUUCAAUUUUGUUGGAAUCCAUUAUCCUUUGUCCUAAACUGAGCUGCACAAAUAUAUCUAUAUCUAUCUAUAUCUAUCUAUCUAUAACAUACAUGAAUUCUCAGUUUUGGAACAGGUGGCGAGCGUGGAGGCGCGGGCAGGGGCGAGCGCGGGGCGCGGGCAGGCGGGCGCGCGUGGCGGGGCGCCGCGUGGCGCGGGCACGCGGGGCGCGGUCAGGAAGCGCGAGCCGGCGCCGGGCGCGGCGGGACAGGUGGCGGCGAGCGGAGGCGCGGGCAGGGGCGAGCGCGGGGCGCGGGCCGGCGGGCGUGCGUGGCGGGGCGCCGCGUGGCGCGGGCGAGCGGGCUGCGCGGGCAGGCGGGCACGUGGGGCGGGGCACCGCGUGGCGCGGGGAGAGGAGAGGGAGAGGAGAGGGAGAGGCGGGCGCGCGGGGCGCCGGCGCGCGGGGCGCCGGCAGGCGGGCGCGCUCGGCGGGCCGCCGCGUGGCGCGGGGAGAGGAGAGGAGAGGAGAGGAGAGGGCGGGACCCAGUUGAGGGGAGAGGAGACGGAGAGAGAAGGGAUUUUUUUUUUUUUUAUCUCUUUUUGUCUCUUUCUACUUUUUCUUUUUAAUUAUUUUUAUAUAUUUGUUCUCUUAAUAUAUGAUUAAAAAAAUUUAUAAAUUUUUUUAAUUCAAUCUAAAUUUUUAUUUAUUUUUAUAAAAAUUUAAAAUAUAUAAAUAAUUUUUAAAUAAGUUAAAUUAUUUGUAUUAAAUAUAAAUUUUAAUUAAGCUGAAUAAAAGAAUUAUUAAAAAUAUAUAAAAAAUAAGAAAGAAAAUUUAAAAAUGAAACAUAAAAAAAGUAAAAAAAAAUAAAAAUAAAAGGAUAUGAUAGAUAAAAAAAAAAUAGAGUCAAAAUGUAAGAACAAUAAAUCAAUUUUUCUAAAAAUUAUAUAUAAUUAUAAUAAUAAUUAUAAUAUAUAUAAUUAUAAAUAUAAUUAUAUAUAAUUUCUUAUUAGUAUUUUUGUCUUUAUUUUUUUUAAUCUUUCUUAUAAUUUUAUUACAACAAUAGUUGUUUAUUUUUUAGUUAUUUUUUUAUACAAUUUUUUGACUCUUUUUUUUUACUAUUAUUUAUUUUAUUUAUAUAUUUAUUUCUGCAGAAUCGUUCCGCCGCAACGCGCGGGUCCUUCACUAGUAUAAACAAUAUAUGCGAAGAACCCUCUGUUUCUAUAUGUUGUUUUGUUUCUGAUCUUAAGUUAUUGAGUUAGAGUUUAUCAAAAAGAAAAAUUGAAUGUAAGUCAGUGGCCGAAUUAUACAAAUUUGCUAUUUUGUGCGUAAGCAAAACCGUCUACGAUUGGAAUGUUAAUUAAUGAUAAAGUGGCUACAUCUUGUAUGUUUAAAGCCUAAUAUAAUCUUCUUUUUGCUUGCUUAUGUCUCAAAGCACCCAAAUAUUCUCUCUCAAUAAACCUGUUAGGCAGGUUAAAGAGAAUCAAAAUGCCUGUUUAGAGGCAUGUAAAGAUAUUUCAAACUCCUUUCCUAGUCAUGGAGCAAUGAAAAAGCUAAAGUUGUGUCAAAAUUCUUUCUAAAUUAAAUUAAUAACGUUAAAAGUUAAGAACAUUUUAAUAAGAAUUAGAAAAUUGAUUGAUCAUAAUUAGUGUAGUUGACUAAGAGCUUACGGUUGACAGCUCUACAAGAUUACCUCGCAAGACUUAUAUGUAUUAAAAUACUGAUGUAUUAUAUGCAAAUUAAUUUAUGUGUUGCAUUAUUAUUAUUUUUUAUUUGCAUCUGAAAAUGCCACCGUUUGGUUU
This 1832-nucleotide long non-coding RNA is filed under the name Ananas comosus (pineapple). RNAcentral describes it as "long non-coding RNA (ACOM_LNC027368)". Lineage: Eukaryota; Viridiplantae; Streptophyta; Magnoliopsida; Poales; Bromeliaceae. The record is from RNAcentral.